GCCCGGAUAGCUCAGUCGGUAGAGCAGAGGAGUGAAAAUCCUCGUGUCGGUGGUUCGAUUCCGCCUCCGGGCACCA
This 76-nucleotide transfer RNA is filed under the name Vibrio parahaemolyticus. RNAcentral's name for it is "tRNA-Phe". It matches the Rfam family "tRNA". From Rfam's summary of the family: Transfer RNA (tRNA) molecules are approximately 80 nucleotides in length. Their secondary structure includes four short double-helical elements and three loops (D, anti-codon, and T loops). The record is from RNAcentral. Lineage: Bacteria; Pseudomonadati; Pseudomonadota; Gammaproteobacteria; Vibrionales; Vibrionaceae.